UUUUUUCUAAUUUCUUUUUAUUUUUUAUUUUUUCUUUUAAUCCCUUUAUUUUGAUUAAUUCAUAAUAAAUUCAUUUUUAAUCCAAAAAAUAUGAGACUUUCACCAAAAAUCUUUAAAUAUUUUAUGUAUCCAGAUUUUGAAUUAAAAUCAUUUUUGAAUUAAUUUUGAUAUUUUUUGUGAAUUAGUUGUUUUUGACUUGUUUUUAAAUAUUUUUAAAUACUUCUGACUUUCCAAAAAAUUUAAUUUUGUUGUCUAAGGUACUUUGACCUUGUUUAACAUAGGAUAAAUUCCUUGGCCAUUUAUUUGGUGAUUUA
Molecule: long non-coding RNA, 314 nt
Filed under: Lathyrus oleraceus (garden pea)
Lineage: Eukaryota; Viridiplantae; Streptophyta; Magnoliopsida; Fabales; Fabaceae
Description: Pisum sativum (pea) long non-coding RNA (PSAT_LNC011394)
Source: RNAcentral